Molecule: small nuclear RNA, 102 nt
Organism: Suricata suricatta (meerkat)
Lineage: Eukaryota; Metazoa; Chordata; Mammalia; Carnivora; Herpestidae
Source: Ensembl
GUUUGUUUCAGCAGCAUAUACACAAAAGUGGAACAACACAACUGAUUAGCAUGGCCCAUGCCCAAGGAUAACAUUCAAACUUGUGAAGCAUUCCAUGUUUGU